Molecule: non-coding RNA, 998 nt
Organism: Rattus norvegicus (Norway rat)
Lineage: Eukaryota; Metazoa; Chordata; Mammalia; Rodentia; Muridae
Source: RefSeq, a predicted model, not a curated record
GUCUUGCUGACCAUCUUCCCUGGCCUCCUUUCACCUAGGAGACAGUUACCAUGAAUAUGAAAGGCAUUGUGACCUCACGCAAAGGAGUUCAGGGAAGUUCAUGAGAUCAUUUCCUGUCUCUCUGUCUCUCUAUCUCCCUGUCACUGUCUCUGUUUCUCUCCCUCCCCACAUAUACACUCCCUCUCUCCUUCUUCUUUUCUUCCACUUCCUCCUCCUCUUCUCCCUCCCUCUUUCCCUUCCUCUAUCCCAAUCCUUCUGGUAGCGGGUCCUAAAGACAACCACUGAUCCUGUAGAUCACCGUCCCCUUUUCAGACCUAUGGUCUCACCUCUUGCCAGCAGAGGGCAGCACAGAAGAUGUUUUUCAGCAGCAGCUUUCCACCUUAGCCUCUCCAGGUCAAUGUUAACUCAUGGUGACUAAGAGACAGGAUCAAGAGAUCUACUCCUCGGAUGUUACUUGGAAGGCAAUGGGGUCCCCUAUUCUUAAGCCAAAUGUAUAGGGAGACUAUGUUAACUGGUUAGUCAUCAGUAAGGCUCAUCCUCCCUAGAUAUUAACCUGCUGUCGUGAAGUCUUAAUCCUCGAGAACCUUUACUUAGUGUUGCUUAUAAGAGGAUCUGCUGGCUGGAACUCCAUUCCUUGCUACCUGGUAAUAUCCUCGGCUUGUCACCUACCCUGCCCUUCACAAUCCACCACAGUUCUGUCCACUGCUGUGGUGCCUGCAGAUGUUACCACCUAUAUCUCAUCCCCCCAACUAGACUCAGACCUCCUGGAAGACAAGGACCAUAUCUAUUAUUGGGUUAGGUCCACAUUCCCUAGCACAGUAGGAUAUACACAUAGGAACUGCUUAGUAUGUAUUUGUGGAUUUGAUUCAAAUGGGAAGAUGUAAGUGUUUUCAUAUUUUCUCUUAAUCUCUCUCCUGUCCUUUCCUGCCUACUCUCGUCACCUCUGGAAUUUGCAUUUAGUCUUUUGCUUUUUUUUUUUUUUUGGUUCUUUUUUCAGA